Molecule: long non-coding RNA, 679 nt
Organism: Halichondria panicea
Lineage: Eukaryota; Metazoa; Porifera; Demospongiae; Suberitida; Halichondriidae
Exons: 9
Source: RefSeq, a predicted model, not a curated record
AGGUUUGCACGUUGUUAUGGACUUUUGAAGCUGGAACACUGGCCAAUUUUACAAGGCUCCCAUCUGAAGUUUUUUCACUAUUGAUAAAGAUGUGUUGAAGAAUGCUCCCAGAUAAUGCUGCCGAGUUGAAGUCUGGACUAAUUACGUAAGUGCCACUGUUCUAUUGUGUUUUGUGAUACGUUAUUGCUUCUGUAGACACUAGAUGUUGUCAGAAGAAUGAACUAAAGAUAAAGCAACAGUUUCCUGUUGCGGGAUAUCUUCGAGAUGAAAAAGAGCCCUUGUAAUGUGUACAGCACACUGUAAGCUGUUGACUGACUUCAUAGUACGCCGGUAAGAUUAUUCACAGUGGACAGUGGUGUGUUCUUCUUUUAAUCUUCUAACUCUUCUUCAGAUGUUGCAAAACUCAAGAUUUCUUUAUUGGCAUGCCGAGUUGGAGUCUGGAUGUGUUAGAUUGAAGUUUUUAGACGAAUGAUAAAGAGAAUGCAACAAUUGCCUGCUGGCGAGCUAUCUCGGAGAUGAAGAACGGCCCUUCAAGCUGUUCACUGACUUCAUAGUACGCCGAGUCUAUCUUUGUGCACAAAAACAAGACAAAUAUAAAUACAUGCCACCGUGGGGAUGUGAAGACACGGAUAUGAUAAUGAGAGACAUAAUGUAGCUGAACAGAAAUUAAUAUAUAUGU